CCUACGGGAGGCAGCAGUGGGGAAUUUUGGACAAUGGGCGCAAGCCUGAUCCAGCAAUGCCGCGUGAGUGAAGAAGGCCUUCGGGUUGUAAAGCUCUUUUGUCAGGGAAGAAACGGUUGGGGCUAAUAUCCUCAGCUAAUGACGGUACCUGAAGAAUAAGCACCGGCUAACUACGUGCCAGCAGCCGCGGUAAUACGUAGGGUGCAAGCGUUAAUCGGAAUUACUGGGCGUAAAGCGUGCGCAGGCGGUUUUGUAAGUCUGUCGUGAAAGCCCCGGGCUUAACCUGGGAAUUGCGAUGGAGACUGCAAGGCUUGAAUCUGGCAGAGGGGGGUAGAAUUCCACGUGUAGCAGUGAAAUGCGUAGAGAUGUGGAGGAACACCGAUGGCGAAGGCAGCCCCCUGGGUCAAGAUUGACGCUCAUGCACGAAAGCGUGGGGAGCAAACAGGAUUAGAUACCCUGGUAGUCCACGCCCUAAACGAUGUCUACUAGUUGUCGGGUCUUAAUUGACUUGGUAACGCAGCUAACGCGUGAAGUAGACCGCCUGGGGAGUACGGUCGCAAGAAUUAAACUCAAAUGAAUUGACGG
This 585-nucleotide ribosomal RNA is filed under the name uncultured bacterium. RNAcentral's name for it is "bacterial SSU rRNA". It matches the Rfam family "Bacterial small subunit ribosomal RNA", at positions 338 to 916 of the family's 1533-position model. The record is from RNAcentral.